This 278-nucleotide long non-coding RNA is filed under the name Brassica napus (rape). RNAcentral's name for it is "long non-coding RNA (BNAP_LNC003569)". Lineage: Eukaryota; Viridiplantae; Streptophyta; Magnoliopsida; Brassicales; Brassicaceae. The record is from RNAcentral.
GCGAGCGACUUCUCCCUGUCGCUCUGGUAAGGUCGCUCCAAUAGGGAGGUCAGAGCGACUUGGUGGUGUCGCUCCGGACUGGUCGCUCCAUGCCUUGCUCGCCCAAUGACCACUCUAAACACUCCUUUUUGAGCUCCAAAUGCACCCAAAUGUCUCCAGAAACUCCAUGUGGUACUCAAAUACCUGAUAGAGACAUAUGUAUGCAAAAUGCAACCUAAACAUGUCUAAAUUCUAAUCUAUAUGAUGAAAAUGUUUAUGAAUGAAUGGAUAAAACAAUG